Molecule: long non-coding RNA, 869 nt
Filed under: Olea europaea subsp. europaea
Lineage: Eukaryota; Viridiplantae; Streptophyta; Magnoliopsida; Lamiales; Oleaceae
Source: RNAcentral
CUCAUUUACUUGAAUCGUUCACAUUUAGUGCCAAAAAGAAAUUAAAUAAAAGGCAUAUCUCAGGAAAAAGACUCUAAGAUACUGUAUUGUCUUUCCACGAUUAACCACAUGACCAAGAUACUAAAAGGAUCUUGAAAUUAAGAAUUUAUGAUAAUGGAGCAAAACAAAUCUAAUAAACAUACAUUUCAAGAACAAAAAUCUAAGGGGGGAAAAACUAAACUCCAGAUGAAUUUUUAUUGUAUAUUGUCCUGAAAUUAUCAUCCACUAAGCACAAAAAAAUUACCUUGAAAAAUAUAAAUAGAAUGCUCUCUCAAAAUGAGCUGUCCCAACCUGUUCGUCCAUAUUGAGUCCAAAUUGCUAUGACCUAUAUGUGCAAAAGCUUCCUCAUGAUGAGGCGGUGGUAGGGGAGGUGGAACGCCAUUGUGGUUUGCAUCGCCGGCAUCGAAAUUUGGGUUUGAAAUAUCCAGUUUUGGGGUAGACGAAAUUUGCUAUGAAUUUGGAUUUUCAGCUUUGUUUGAUGUUAUAAAUACAUCAUUAGGAGUGUAAUUAGGUGCUUGGUCGACCUGGAUGAUGGGCAUAGUCUGGGAGUCGCCGGAAGUGGAGAUUCCGGCCAUUUUUAAGUGCGUCGGCAGGCUUUUUUGGGCGAUUUUCACUAGAUUUCCACCAGAGUUAAGGCCAGUGAUUGGGUGGGUAGUGAAGAGGGAAGUGUGGGCUUCAAGUUGGUAUGAAGAUCCGGCGGCCAUGGUGGCCGGAGAUUGGAUUAUUGGGAUCCAUAGUUGGUGGCUCAAAAAUCCCAAAAGACAGAAGAGUUAGGAAAUGAAAUAGAGGGAGGGCGGCAGUUUAUUUUUGGAGGAAAUGAAAUAUUUGAG